RNAcentral lists this ribosomal RNA (426 nucleotides) under uncultured Bacteroides sp. Its description in RNAcentral is "bacterial SSU rRNA". It matches the Rfam family "Bacterial small subunit ribosomal RNA", at positions 97 to 524 of the family's 1533-position model. The record is from RNAcentral. Lineage: Bacteria; Pseudomonadati; Bacteroidota; Bacteroidia; Bacteroidales; Bacteroidaceae.
GGCGCACGGGUGAGUAACACGUACCCAACCUACAUCACUCGGGGAUAGCCUUUCGAAAGAAAGAUUAAUACCCGAUAGUCUAGGAAUAAAGCAUUUUAUUUUUAGUAAAGAAUUUCGGUGUUUGAUGGGGAUGCGUUCCAUUAGAUUGUUGGUGAGGUAACGGCUCACCAAGUCUUCGAUGGAUAGGGGUUCUGAGAGGAAGGUCCCCCACAUUGGAACUGAGACACGGUCCAAACUCCUACGGGAGGCAGCAGUGAGGAAUAUUGGUCAAUGGACGAGAGUCUGAACCAGCCAAGUAGCGUGAAGGACGAAGGCCCUACGGGUCGUAAACUUCUUUUAUAGGGGAAUAAAGUGGAGAACGUGUUCUCCUUUGUAUGUACCCUACGAAUAAGGAUCGGCUAACUCCGUGCCAGCAGCCGCGGUAAU